This 275-nucleotide ribosomal RNA is filed under the name uncultured bacterium. Its description in RNAcentral is "partial 16S ribosomal RNA". It matches the Rfam family "Bacterial small subunit ribosomal RNA", at positions 399 to 691 of the family's 1533-position model. The record is from RNAcentral.
GCGUGAGUGAAGACGGCCUUCGGGUUGUAAAGCUCUUUUAACUGUGAAGAUGAUGACAGUAGCAGUAGAAAAAGCCCCGGCUAACUUCGUGCCAGCAGCCGCGGUAAUACGAAGGGGGCGAGCGUUGCUCGGAUUUAUUGGGCGUAAAGCGCAUGUAGGCGGUUCGUGCGGUCGGUGGUGAAAGCCCAGAGCUUAACUCUGGAAUGGCCAUCGAUACCGGCGAGCUAGAGGGUAAGAGAGGACAACGGAAUUCCGAGUGUAGCAGUUAAAUGCAU